UGGGGAAUAUUGGACAAUGGGCGAAAGCCUGAUCCAGCCAUGCCGCGUGUGUGAAGAAGGUCUUCGGAUUGUAAAGCACUUUAAGUUGGGAGGAAGGGCUAUUACCUAAUACGUGAUGGUUUUGACGUUACCGACAGAAUAAGCACCGGCUAACUCUGUGCCAGCAGCCGCGGUAAUACAGAGGGUGCAAGCGUUAAUCGGAAUUACUGGGCGUAAAGCGCGCGUAGGUGGUUCGUUAAGUUGGAUGUGAAAGCCCCGGGCUUAACCUGGGAACUGCAUUCAAAACUGACGAGCUAGAGUAUGGUAGAGGGUGGUGGAAUUUCCUGUGUAGCGGUGAAAUGCGUAGAUAUAGGAAGGAACACCAGUGGCGAAGGCGACCACCUGGACUGAUACUGACACUGAGGUGCGAAAGCGUGGGGAGCAAACAGG
Molecule: ribosomal RNA, 429 nt
Filed under: bacterium
Lineage: Bacteria
Description: partial 16S ribosomal RNA
Rfam family: Bacterial small subunit ribosomal RNA
Source: RNAcentral